GUGCUUGUUUUGGCAGCACAUAUACUAAAAUCAGAAUAAUACAGAGAAGAUUAGCAUGGCCCCCACACAAAGAUGACAUAUAAAUUGGAUUUUAUAAAUGUAU
Pongo abelii (Sumatran orangutan) is the source of this 103-nucleotide small nuclear RNA. The record is from Ensembl. NCBI's taxonomy places the organism in Eukaryota, Metazoa, Chordata, Mammalia, Primates, Hominidae.